Molecule: ribosomal RNA, 261 nt
Filed under: uncultured prokaryote
Description: partial 16S ribosomal RNA
Rfam family: Bacterial small subunit ribosomal RNA
Source: RNAcentral
UACGUAGGUGGCAAGCGUUGUCCGGAUUUAUUGGGCGUAAAGGGAGCGCAGGCGGUUCCUUAAGUCUGAUGUGAAAGCCCACGGCUCAACCGUGGAAGGUCAUUGGAAACUGGGGAACUUGAGUGCAGAAGAGGAGAGUGGAAUUCCAUGUGUAGCGGUGAAAUGCGUAGAUAUAUGGAGGAACACCAGUGGAGAAGGCGACUCUCUGGUCUGUAACUGACGCUGAGGCUCGAAAGCGUGGGGAGCAAACAGGAUUAGAUA